Molecule: ribosomal RNA, 253 nt
Filed under: uncultured bacterium
Lineage: Bacteria
Description: partial 16S ribosomal RNA
Rfam family: Bacterial small subunit ribosomal RNA
Source: RNAcentral
UACAGAGGUCUCAAGCGUUGUUCGGAUUCAUGGGGCGUAAAGGGUGCGUAGGCGGCGCGGUAAGUCGGGUGUGAAAUCUUGGAGCUUAACUCCGAAACUGCAUUCGAUACUGCCGUGCUUGAGGACUGGAGAGGAGACUGGAAUUUACGGUGUAGCGGUGAAAUGCGUAGAUAUCGUAAGGAAGACCAGUGGCGAAGGCGGGUCUCUGGACAGUUCCUGACGCUGAGGCACGAAGGUCAGGGGAGCAAACGGG